AUUCCUACGGGAGGCAGCAGUGGGGAAUAUUGCACAAUGGAGGAAACCCUGAUGCAGCAACGCCACGUGUGGGAAGACGCAUUUCGGUGUGUAAACCACUGUCGAUAGGGAAUAAUUAUGGACUUCGGUUCAGUUGAAUGUACCUAUAAAGGAAGCACCGGCAAACUUCGUGCCAGCAGCCGCGGUAAUAAU
This 192-nucleotide ribosomal RNA is filed under the name uncultured bacterium. RNAcentral describes it as "partial 16S ribosomal RNA". It matches the Rfam family "Bacterial small subunit ribosomal RNA", at positions 335 to 526 of the family's 1533-position model. The record is from RNAcentral.